GAUGAACGCUGGCGGCGUGCCUAAUACAUGCAAGUCGAGCGAACAGACGCGGAGCUUACUCCUCUGACGUUAGCAACGGACGGGUAAGUAACACGUGGAUAACCCACCUAUAAGACUGAAACAACUUCGAGAGGCCGUAGCUCCUACCGGGUACUAUAUUGAACGGGAUGGUUCAAUAGUGAAUGCGGGGUUGGAUGUCACUUCUACCUAGAUCCGCGCCGCAUUAGCGAGUUGGUAAGGUAACGGCUUACGAAGGCAAGGAUGCGUAGCCGACCUGAGAGGGUGUAGGGCCACUGUGGAGCUGAGGCACGGUCCAGAGUCCGACGUGAGGCAGCAGUAGGGAAUGUUCGGCAAUGGGCGAAAGCUUGACGGAGCAACGCCGCGUGGGUGAUGCAGGUCUUCGUAUCGUAUAACUCUGUUAUUGGUGAAGAACAAAUGCGUAAGUAACGAUGCACUUUGUGACGGUACCUAAACAGAAAGCCCCGGCUAACUACGUG
RNAcentral lists this ribosomal RNA (497 nucleotides) under uncultured bacterium. Its description in RNAcentral is "partial 16S ribosomal RNA". It matches the Rfam family "Bacterial small subunit ribosomal RNA", at positions 28 to 507 of the family's 1533-position model. The record is from RNAcentral.